RNAcentral lists this ribosomal RNA (302 nucleotides) under uncultured bacterium. RNAcentral describes it as "partial 16S ribosomal RNA". It matches the Rfam family "Bacterial small subunit ribosomal RNA", at positions 508 to 807 of the family's 1533-position model. The record is from RNAcentral.
GCAGUAGCCGCGGUAAUACGAAGGGUGCAAGCGUUAAUCGGAAUUACUGGGCGUAAAGCGUGCGUAGGCGGUGAGUUAAGUCUGCUGUGAAAUCCCCGGGCUCAACCUGGGAAUGGCAGUGGAUACUGGCUCGCUAGAGUGUGUCAGAGGAUGGUGGAAUUCCCGGUGUAGCGGUGAAAUGCGUAGAGAUCGGGAGGAACAUCAGUGGCGAAGGCGGCCAUCUGGGACAACACUGACGCUGAGGCACGAAAGCGUGGGGAGCAAACAGGAUUAGAUACCCCCGUAGUCCCUGUCUCUUAUAC